AUGAAUGUAAAAGAUUUUAAAAACGUACUUAGAUACCGAUUAGGUUUUUCUGAGAAUUUUCCAGAUUUUUUCAGAUUUAUUCUCAUGUUACUAGAGCUUAAUCUAAUUUUUGGAUGGUUCUACAAGUCUUUCCAGGUGCUCUAAGUAUUUUAUUUGGGUUCCUCGCAUUCCAAACCAUCUAUAGUUUUUUUCUAAAUUUUUUAGAGUUUUCGGAGUAUUUUUUGUCAUUUAAUUGCAAUUUUAGUAUUUUCUGGAGUUAUUUUCGAAUCCGAAAUUAAUUCCUAAAAUUAGAAAAAUGAGGAAAAUAAACCGAACUCCAACCUGGUCUAUAAAUACUUUACGGUGAUCUCCUUGACGUUCUUUUUCUAAUGUCGCAAAAAACCUCACGUCGUUUCGACAACCCUAGCUCCCG
RNAcentral lists this long non-coding RNA (412 nucleotides) under Setaria viridis. RNAcentral's name for it is "long non-coding RNA (SVIR_LNC008090)". Lineage: Eukaryota; Viridiplantae; Streptophyta; Magnoliopsida; Poales; Poaceae. The record is from RNAcentral.